CUUAAACAGUGAAGUGUGUAAUGUUUCUUUCCAUGUAUGCUUUUGCUUUAGGAUGUUUAAUGCACAUGGGGCUCAACCACUUAUUGCAUGUAAUACUUUGCCAGAGAAAGGAUAGUGUGACAGUGUGUAUUGCUUUCUAGCUUUUGUAUUGGUAUCGUUCUUUUUAAAUUUCAGAGUGACAACCAUUCAUGUUUUAUUUAUGGCCAUAAGUAAAUUAUUUGAUUAGUACUAGCUGUUGUGCAGCUUUUUUGCGUGGUUAUAUCUGUAAUGCACUAAUGCUUUUUGUUUUUGUUUGGUUUUCUUGAUUUAUCCGUAUUGGGGAUUUCGAGCAAUUAGGACAUCUUGGACACUGAAUGACUUUAUAUCGUGUUCAUCUCUUGUCGCCAUCCUUUCUUGCUUGAUGUUCCAUUUUUAGUGCAUGCCAUAUGUCCGAUAAAAUGCAUGGGAGAAGGACCACUAGCAUGGUUCCUAAUGCAUGGGUGUCCAAGACUAUGUUCCUAACUUUGGCUCCUUGUCAGCUUCACAUAUCGGCUUUACAAUCAGGCUAUUAACUGCUUACUUCUCCAAGUUCAAUCCAUGUUCAUGAGGGUCCUGGAGAGGGAGCUGGCUGUAACUGAGAAGAUCAAAGAGUAUUUCUUUGCAGACUUCACCCAGGAAUUGGUACUGAGCUGGAUGCUGAAGCACUUAAUUACCGUAUGUCGAGUGGCUCAAGAGACAGAAGAUGUACCUUAAAGAAUCUGUCCCAAAAACAGACAGUUGCGUGAAGCAUUUCUGGUUCAUGACACCUUCAUGAUAGGACCAUUAUCGGGUUCAAAUAUCUGGUAGACUAUCAGGUAAUCUUGUCCCAGAAAGUUUUUUUUUAUACACCGUUAGCAUUGAAAUUAGAUGAUAUUACAUGAAAUGGUAGCAUGACUAGAUGUUUGAUGCAAACUGAAAUUCAACACCAAUUUGUGAGUGCAAGUAGACUAUGUACAUCUCUUUGUCCCUGAUUUCUCCAUAUUUAUUUCAACCACUGGUACCAUCAAGUUUGCCUCCUUACUUGCUUGUGGUUUUAUUAGACAGCAUGGGAUGUUAGGCGGGUGGAUAAUGCCAUCUCCUUCUCCCAUGUUAAUUUCUUCUUUAGAUCAUUUUUUUGUUCAUCCGGUUCAGCAUAGUUUGAGGGUUCACUACAGAAUACAAAUAUUUUAGAAAUGAUAUAAUGAGGCUUAAGCUCUGGCAUGUAGACCAGCUUGACCACCAUAAGAGAAAAUGGUAGGGGGGCGAAUAUGUCAUUGUUUAGUUUUAGACAAAUGAAAAGCUUGAUUGUUGCUAAGUCAAGAGAACAUGAUUUAUGAGACCUGGCAUUUGUGUAGUUUUCUGGAUCCAGAUUAUGCUUGACACGGGCAGCCGGAGUCACUACCUCUUAUAUGACCAAAUCCUUAUGCCACUAUUGAUUUGCAUAUCGCAGCAGACACAAAACACUUGCAUGCCAAGCCUAGGACUUGGCCUUUUGGCCAUACGAUGUUGCAAAGCUGAGCAACAUCACUUCUUUUAAUUAGUUUCUCAAGAUCCACCUAUUUCUUUCCUGACCCUUUGGGAUUAGAAUUUUAGCCACUGCAAACCUUCUGCAUUCCUCUGAUUAGUUAGUGCUGGGCGAAAUUUAAGAAGUUCUCUCACAGAUUUUAUUUUGGUUUGCAUGUGCUUUGCCCCUCGGAUCUUGUGACCAUGAUGUGGGUAAGCUCAAGGCUCAUCUGGUGUUUCCCAGUUGAGUAGCUGGGCUGCCUCAUGCAUUCAGGAUUUCAGGUUGCCCCCUCAGUUCUUCUAUUAGCUGCUCUUAGAUGAGGCCUUCAAGCCUCAAGUAUCUCUCUCACACACUGAGUCCCUCUGUUUGUUUUCCUGAGGAAACCUUUUGGCACAUCAUACAGAUUUAUGCUCACUCUUCGACCGUUUAUUGAAUAAUUGCAUGCCUCUGUGUGUAUCCUUGAAUUGAUUCAUUGAUAACUCCACUUCAUGUACUAUUUUUGAGUCCCCGCGAGAUAAUUUUGAAGGCACCUGGAGAUUUGAAUAAUAAUUGCAUAGGUUGCUUCAUGAUCUUGGUGGGCAGUUUCAUAGACUUUUUUUCGAGUCGCCGCAAGAUAAUUUUGAAGCCACCUGGGAUAGUUGAAUAAUGAUCACAUAGGUAAACAUUACCAAGGAAAAUCAAAUUCCUGGACGUCUCAGAAUUCCAAAAAAGAAAAUAACACUCGAGUGUACUAAAUUACAAUUUCUGCUUUUCCUGUGUAUAUAUAUUUUUUAAUGAGAUCCAAUAGUUUUGUCAUAGAAUAAUAUUUUAUUC
Molecule: long non-coding RNA, 2314 nt
Organism: Lolium rigidum
Lineage: Eukaryota; Viridiplantae; Streptophyta; Magnoliopsida; Poales; Poaceae
Exons: 7
Source: RefSeq, a predicted model, not a curated record